GUUGUGAAUCGCUCCGGGGUUUCCAGCCACCAGAAUGCUUCUGCAUCUUCGUGAGUCCUCCGUCUCCGUCUAUUCUCCAUCGUGAGUCCUCUCCUUCGAAUGCUUCUGCACCUUCGUGAAUCAUCUCCAUCAAGCGCUUCGGCAACAUCGUGAAUCAUCGUUAUCGACUGUGUCACAUCCAUUUCGUUCAUCGGAGUUGAUAAAUAGUAGAUUCGAUGUUGAUGGUGAUGAGGUUAUCUAGACGAAACAGAGGACAGAAGGAAAAGAUGAUUGAAGACUUGAUCCUUACAUAAUCCAAUUGUGAGAUGACAAGAGGUGAUGGUUGUUAGUUAACAGUAGUUUGUUUUGUUUGAAAAAAGAGAAAACUCAUGUGAGGAAGGUGAUGGUA
Vicia villosa (hairy vetch) is the source of this 388-nucleotide long non-coding RNA. RefSeq lists it as uncharacterized. Lineage: Eukaryota; Viridiplantae; Streptophyta; Magnoliopsida; Fabales; Fabaceae. The record is from RefSeq and is a predicted model, not a curated record. The transcript is spliced from 3 exons.